This 70-nucleotide ribozyme is filed under the name Tulasnella calospora MUT 4182. Its description in RNAcentral is "HDV ribozyme from F. prausnitzii". It matches the Rfam family "HDV ribozyme from F. prausnitzii". Lineage: Eukaryota; Fungi; Basidiomycota; Agaricomycetes; Cantharellales; Tulasnellaceae. The record is from Rfam by way of RNAcentral.
GGGGCUCGAAGACGCACACCUCCCCGUGGUGAGCCCUGUCAACGUCCGCAAGGACGGCCAAGAUGCGCAU